AUACGGAGGGUGCAAGCGUUAUUCGGAAUCACUGGGCGUAAAGGACGCGUAGGCGGGUUGGCAAGUCAGAUGUGAAAUCCUACAGCUUAACUGUAGAACUGCAUUUGAAACUGCUAACCUAGAGUAUGAGAGGGGGAGAUGGAAUUAGUGGUGUAGGGGUAAAAUCCGUAGAUAUCACUAGGAAUACCGAAAGCGAAGGCGAUCUCCUGGAACAUAACUGACGCUAAGGCGUGAAAGCGUGGGGAGCAAACAGAAUUAGAAACCCCGGUAGUCC
RNAcentral lists this ribosomal RNA (274 nucleotides) under uncultured bacterium. RNAcentral's name for it is "partial 16S ribosomal RNA". It matches the Rfam family "Bacterial small subunit ribosomal RNA", at positions 523 to 796 of the family's 1533-position model. The record is from RNAcentral.